GUGGGGAAUAUUGGACAAUGGGCGCAAGCCUGAUCCAGCCAUGCCGCGUGUGUGAAGAAGGCCUUCGGGUUGUAAAGCACUUUUGUUGGGAAAGAAAUCCUGUCGGCUAAUACCCGGCGGGGAUGACGGUACCCAAAGAAUAAGCACCGGCUAACUUCGUGCCAGCAGCCGCGGUAAUACGUAGGGUGCAAGCGUUACUCGGAAUUACUGGGCGUAAAGCGUGCGUAGGGGGUUCGUUAAGUCAGAUGUGAAAGCCCCGGGCUCAACCUGGGAAUUGCAUUUGAUACUGGCGGACUAGAGUGCGGUAGAGGAGAGUGGAAUUCCCGGUGUAGCAGUGAAAUGCGUAGAGAUCGGGAGGAACAUCAGUUGCGAAGGCGGCUCUCUGGACCAGCACUGACACUGAGGCACGAAAGCGUGGGGAGCAAACAGGAUUAGAUACCCGUGUAGUCC
Molecule: ribosomal RNA, 450 nt
Filed under: uncultured bacterium
Lineage: Bacteria
Description: partial 16S ribosomal RNA
Rfam family: Bacterial small subunit ribosomal RNA
Source: RNAcentral